AAUAGUAAUUUUAAAGAUUUUUUCUAGUAUGAAUUAUUAUCUAUUUAUACAAUAUUUGAUUAAAAACAAUUAUAUACUAAUGUAGGUGUUCGUAAUUUUCCACAUCGUGUAAAUAUACAAUGACUGAUAACUGGGCUUUUUCCAGAGAAAUGUUGUUUUUCCGUUACACAGUAACUUUUUACUGUGAGGAAAUGUAACCACACAUUUUUUAAUCGAUCAUUAUUGUACAACUUUUUUGAUAAUCUUACUUAAUUUUUGUUAUAUUCUACAAAGAUAAAUAACGUAAAUUAAUCUACAGUACACCUUCAGUUGAGUUUCAUCCCUUAUUUUAAAAGGAGCUGUUAAUAAUAGUGCUGUCAAUGAGGCUACACUAAUUAUUUAUCGAUUUCCCGAAGAGUUAGGUGGUAGUCUCAAUAAAACAGAGGAAACAGGGAUGUCAAGGCGUCUUGGGCUAUGUGGAACUUAACAUCUGCAUUAAUGUGACCCACCCUUGAAUCCACUCAUUCAGAAAAAUAGUCGGCCAUGUUCCGGUUUAAUCGGAAAGCAAAAUUUAACCAAUUUUUAGUGUCUACUGGCAAGAUUUAUCCCAAUCAAAUAUUUCAAACCAGAAAUUACACAUGACACUCUUAUUGCACAUGACACUCUUAUCAAAAAUUUUAUUUUUGAUUCUCUCAUGGCGACUGUGAAGUAUUCCAGCCUUCGUAUGUUCGUAUUUAUUUACAAUACAUUAACAAUAAUAUUAUUAGUUUCCUCAUCCAAGGUAGUCAACCAGGCAGUCAGUUGUUAUUAAGGAAGUGUAUAUGAGAAGAUAUAUACAACACAUUUGUUUUUUUUGUAUUUUUUUAAAUAUAGUUUUAUACAAAUAUAUGUACUUGUAAAUACGAUAAGGUUGAUAUGGUAUUUUGAUUAAUCGUACGAGAUACACACAACACGCCUUAAAAAUUACGUUUUUACCUUUGUUAAGCCUACGUCAAUGAAAGAAGAGGCAGCUUAAUACGGUCUAAUCAAUCAAUUUCCUAUUUUUAUUUGACAUUUCUGUAGUUUCAGAAAGCCUAGAAAUUUUAUGCAAUCAAGUAAUCACUCCUAUGCUCGCGAAUGGUUAAUUUAGAAAUUCGAAAAAGAUUGUUAAAGGUGUAUGUUGAG
Long non-coding RNA from Agrilus planipennis (emerald ash borer), 1143 nucleotides. RefSeq lists it as uncharacterized. The transcript has 3 exons. Lineage: Eukaryota; Metazoa; Arthropoda; Insecta; Coleoptera; Buprestidae. The record is from RefSeq and is a predicted model, not a curated record.